RNA transcript from Pyrus x bretschneideri (Chinese white pear), 1920 nucleotides. It is a transcript of the gene named cysteine proteinase inhibitor, with no coding region annotated. The record is from RefSeq and is a predicted model, not a curated record. The transcript has 4 exons. NCBI's taxonomy places the organism in Eukaryota, Viridiplantae, Streptophyta, Magnoliopsida, Rosales, Rosaceae.
UGUCUUCAAGCUUUAACUUUGCACUUCUCACCAUUUUAGGUUUUGUCUCGCUGUUGGUUUUACCAUUUUAGAUUUUCUUCAAAGCUUCCACUUUUCUACUUUCACUUUCUAAAUUUUCUUUCAAUAAAAUAUUGUUUAUUUUAUAUGUCAAAAUCAAAUAUUUAGUUUAUAAUCUUUAAUAAAUAUACCAAAACAUCUCCGACCUAAUUGUAUUUUUCGAUAUGUUGUAUGACCAAAUCACGUUGAUGUCAAGUUCGAUGUCCUUCAACAUCGGCAACCUCCAAAUCUGCACGGCAACAUCUUCACGACCGUUAACCAACCAUACUCACCUGAUGCUGAAGGCCAACAACGGCUUCUGGGCACCAUUCGAUCACAAUACUCUGCUCCGCACUUGCUCGCUCCUUCUUGGAUCUCCAUCUUCUUCUGCACCACCGCCAUGCGGUGGCACUAGCAUUUACAUGGGUGCCCACAAGGAUGACUGGAUCAUCACACUCGCCCAGUUUGCAGUAGACCAGCACAAUCACAAAGAGGGUAAGCAUCUUCGAUAUGUGAGGGUGGUGGGGGCAAGCCACAAUACGGUUUCUGGCAUAUUGUACCAUAUUACACUGGAGGCAGUUGAUGCUAAUAGGCCUAAGAUUUACCAUGCAGUUGUUUGGUUGCAGAUAUUAAAGAACUUCAUGGAGUUGCUUGUGUGGAACCCUGUUAACGAUCGCUUGUCGGUUCAUGGUGUUAAAUGUGGUUAUUAAGGAAUGUAUAAAGACUAAAGUAUAAGCCUAAAGAAGUUCCGGUGCUAUUGGUGUUAACCAUUCUGAUAUGGAUGCGUUGGAGGAGAAGAACCUAAGAUUUCUGCAGCAAUGACUUUGCAAGAUUACAGACUGGCUAUGGAUUAACAAGAAUGGUUUGGUGUGUAUGAAUCAAAGCUUUUCACGCACUGAAAUCGUGCCUUAAUCCUGCCGUCAAAACUUGCAUUUGAUAUUGAUAACUGAUUGAUGAUUAUCUAAAGAAAUUGUUCCUCGCGUUCUGAUGGCAUAAUAUUCAUACAUUUUGCUUGAAUAACAACCAUGUUAUCUAAAUCACAAAGACUUGUUAAUAUGGCUACAUAAUAUUCAACUUUGAUCAUGAAAGUGUUAUGAUUAAAGUUCAUCGUUCACAGCCUUCUUCAAUCUAAAGAGUUGAAGGCUGAGAUAUAUUGUAUGGUUUUUGGGUAUAAAGAUUAAUCACGCAUGUUAUGUGAUUCAGUGAUGAACCCUAGCUUCAUGAGUCUCACCACGGUGGAUUCACUACUGGAAUGAACUACAAAAAGUGGAAGCAAGACUUGGAGAUUGUGUUGGAGUUGAGAACACAUUCUUCAAGUCCUGCUUCCACUUUUUGUAGUUGAUUCCAGUAAGUGGUUCCACCGUGUUGAGACUCAUGGAGCUAGGGUUCAUCACCGAAUCACAUAACAUGCGUGAUUAAUCUUUAUACCUAAAAACCAAUAUGUCAUAGCCUUCAUAAUCAAGGUUGAACGAUGAACUUUAAUCAUAAUACUUUCAUAAUCAUAAUCAAGGUUGAUUAUUCUGUAGCCAUAUUAACAAGUUUUUGUCAUUUCGCUAACAUGGUUGUAAUUCAAGCAAAAUGUAUGAAUAAAUAUUAUGCCAUUUAAUAGUAACCACAUUGAUUAGAGAAAAUACAUUUUCCAUACGUAUGUGAAUUCAAAGUCAUGUUUAAACUUAAUUAAGAGAAUAUCGCUUGUAUCGAAACAUUUACUACACCUGACCCAUAAAACACCUAAUAAGGAGAAGAAAGAGUCUAAUUUUCUCAUUGGUGAUGUUUUUCAUUACUCAUAAAUAACUAGAUAAUCAUGUUUAAUUUCACUUAAUCACAUGCAUCUUCAAGUUAAACAAACUUACAACUUUAAUUUUAAGGAAUAAGGGAUAGUUG